This is a long non-coding RNA of Homarus americanus (American lobster), 461 nucleotides long. RefSeq lists it as uncharacterized. The record is from RefSeq and is a predicted model, not a curated record. NCBI's taxonomy places the organism in Eukaryota, Metazoa, Arthropoda, Malacostraca, Decapoda, Nephropidae. The transcript has 3 exons.
CUUACCCUAACAGCAGCCACAACUGAGACCCACUCUGUCGUCGAUCGUACUACGUAAAAAAAAAAAAAAGUUGAACAAGACUGUGUUUAGUGUUGGUGUUUGAGAAUCUUACUGCGUCCUGGAAGAAAAUAAAUACACAAGACUCAAGAAACAGUGGAAUAGUAAGAGAGUACAAUAAUAACAACAAUAAUACCCACGUUGGUAGUCUGUCUGUGUGUCUCAUCCGGAGUCCACGCGGGUCUUGUUGUGAGUGAGACGCCGUUCGUAUAGGAUCUCUACGGAUUGAUUAUAUUAUCAUAUCAGCGUUAAUAAAUCCACCAACUCUUAUUCCUCCUUUGGUAUUUCCUUCACAACUGGAAAUACUCAAUUGGGGGUCCACAGAACACAGGGAUUCGGUUCAUUCUUCAUCUGGAAUAACACGGGGCACGAGUGGCUCUCACACCAGCCUACUGAAUGUUGAA